GGGGUGAAAAUAUAAAGUGUUCCAAUCAUAUUGAAAGGUAUUCCAUAUUAUUUAUCUGAUCAUAAAGAUUCCAAAAAGGUACAGUUUGGACCAUCUAUGGCUGAAUUCUAUAGAGUUACGGGGUAGAAAAUAGCAAAAAUAGUGAGAAAGGUCAAUUACAGUUUGUACAGGGGUCUAAAGUUACAGUUGCUCCAAUUCUGGUAUUAAAGAAAUUGCGAAAAUUAAU
This is a long non-coding RNA of Thalassophryne amazonica, 226 nucleotides long. RefSeq lists it as uncharacterized. The record is from RefSeq and is a predicted model, not a curated record. Lineage: Eukaryota; Metazoa; Chordata; Actinopteri; Batrachoidiformes; Batrachoididae. The transcript is spliced from 3 exons.